GACGAACGCUGGCGGCGUGCUUAACACAUGCAAGUCGAACGGAAAGGCCCUGCUUUUGUGGGGUGCUCGAGUGGCGAACGGGUGAGUAACACGUGAGUAACCUGCCCUUGACUUUGGGAUAACUUCAGGAAACUGGGGCUAAUACCGGAUAGAAGCUCCUGCUGCAUGGUGGGGGUUGGAAAUUUUCGGCGGUUGGGGAUGGACUCGCUGCUUAUCAGCUUGUUUGUUGGGUAGUGGCUUACCAAGGCUUUGACGGGUAGACGGCAUGUGAGGGUGAACGGCAACAAUGGGACUGAGAGACGGAGCAGAAGGGAACGGGAGGCAGCAGUGGGGAAUAUUGCACAAUGGGAGGAAGGAUGAUGAAGAAAAGCGGCGUGCGGGAUGACGGCCUUCGGGUUGUAAAACGCAUUAGAAUGUGACGAAGCGUGAGUGACGGUAAUGGGUAAAGAAGCACCGGCUAACUACGUG
This 468-nucleotide ribosomal RNA is filed under the name uncultured bacterium. RNAcentral describes it as "partial 16S ribosomal RNA". It matches the Rfam family "Bacterial small subunit ribosomal RNA", at positions 28 to 507 of the family's 1533-position model. The record is from RNAcentral.